RNAcentral lists this transfer RNA (95 nucleotides) under Kwoniella pini CBS 10737. RNAcentral describes it as "tRNA-Ser". Lineage: Eukaryota; Fungi; Basidiomycota; Tremellomycetes; Tremellales; Cryptococcaceae. The record is from RNAcentral.
GGCGUUGUGCGAUAGUGGUUAUUCGGCGGGUCUAGAAUUUCUAAUCUCUUCAACCCGUGCCUUCUGGCUCGCAUGUUCGAAUCAUGUCAACGUCG